CCCAGCGGGCCCCUGCAAUACUUAUCUUUUUCAUCCUUUCUUCGCCUCGCACGAUGACCAAAAAUGUCGGUCUCUUUACUCCAACCCUACGUUUACACGAUGUGCGCUAUAAGUCAGGGCAUUAAGCAACGUGAUCUUACAUUAUUUAGCCUUUACUUUGUCUUCUAACCCUGAUUUAAUUCUUCAUUUGGUGGUAGAUGUGGAAAAAUACCAGGGAGAUCAGUUUAGGUUGGUAUACUUUUUCUUUAGGCUUAAAGGCAGUUUAUGGAUUCUCACAACUUGGAUAUAUCAGAUGUGGGUCUAUGGAUUGCUGACUUGCAAGUUUCAACAUUAAAGGCCAUGUUUCCCUAAAUCCCACCUUUCAGAUGUGAAGAAAACUGAAAAACUAUACCAGGGAGAUCAUCCAGGUGUGCCAGGUAUAUCAAAAAAGAUUGCAUAUUCAAGUUGAAAAUACUGCAGAGGAUACCAGAAGGUAUUGAGGAGAAAGGAGAAGUGAAGGAGAUAGUGAAUUUGGGAAUUGAAUCAGCUUUAGCCAUUAAAUCAUGGGGGUUUCGGUUUAUUAUUUAAUCCACUUUGGCAUCGGAAGUCAUUCACAAGUUCUUUUGGACAAAACAGCCCACAUAAUGGAGCUAGAAAAAGAUAUGAUUAGUGAUUUUGAAGAAGGGCAAAAACAACUGCAACAAGUUGGGAAGAACAAGUUCUAUGUUUUCUAUUUAUUGACAAUGUGGUUCACCAUGAUUCUAUCAAACAGCCAGUACAAAUAUUCUAUCUCCCAGCAAGUAAGUACAAGUCAACAUGGGCUUAAUGCAGGUUAUGAAAGAAUUCAACUUGAGGAUGCUUGUAACAUGUCAAGAAAAGAACAUGAGUUGUCUACUUUUCAUCAAAGAGUCCAAGAGGCUAAGGAAGCCUUCCUUGACAUAUGUGCAUAUUUUCAUUGCCUGGAUUAAGAUCUUGUUGGUCAUACUGCAGAUUAAAGGAAAUGUGGAGCUCUUCACAAGGGAGUGCCUAAAAAUAAGAAUCACUUAGAUGAAGUGAUUGUUCACAAUGUCCUUUGCUUGAUGGGAAUGAAAAUGAUAAAAGGAGACAAGGAUUACAAAUCAUAGGUAUUUUUGGAUGUAGUGGAAGAUGAAUCAAAGUUUAAAAAAGUGUAAAAUGGAAUAAGCAUUUUUGAUGAUACAUUUUUAAUCACAAUUAAUAUCACACAUUUAAAAGUCAUGGAUCGUUCCUUGAGAGUUCUAAGGCUAGGAGAUUGGGUGGAGAGCACGUAAAAACCGUUUGCAUCUAUAUGUGGAGGAUGUGAUUGUUUUUCAAUUUAGAGAUGCUUUUGAAUUGAAGAAGCUCACAGUUUUCUUGAUAACAUCUUUUGGUUGAUGUGAUUGUUUUUUCCAUUUCAAGACACUUUAAAUUGCAGAAGCUCAUUGUUUUUUCCAUUUCAAGACACUUCAAAUGCAGAAGUUCACAGUUUUCUUGAUGACAUCCUUUGGUUGAUGGGAAUGAAGACUAAGAUUACACAUUUUUAAUCACAAUUAAUACCACACAUUUGAAAGUCAUGGAUCGUUCCUUGAGAGUUCUAAGGCUAGGAAAUUGGGUGAGAGCACGUAAAAACCGUAUGCAUCUAUAUGUGGAGGACAUGAUUGUUUUUCAAUUUAGAGAUGCUUCCGAAUUGAAGAAGCUCACAGUUUUCUUGAUAACUUCUUUUGGUUGAUGUGGUUGUUUUUUCCAUUUCAAGACACUUCAAAUGCAGAAGCUCACAGUUUUCUUGAUGACAUCCUUUGGUUGAUGGGAAUGAAGACUAGGAUUACAAAUUACUGGAUAUUAUUGGAUGCAGUAGAUUGAAAACAGAAAAAAAAUGAUAAUACAUUGAUAAUAUGUAUUUAAAAGUUAUGAACAGUUUCUUCAAGGUUCUAAUGCUAGCAAAAUUGGGUGGUACUAAAUAUUUCAUAUGUCAGAACAUAUAAAGAUAAAGAUUUCACAUGUUUAUGUGUGGGGGGUGUGACUGCUUUUCCAUUUAAGGAUGGUUCCAAAUUGGAGUGAUGGUUCGUUAAGGUCUCAGGCUAGGAAAUUGGGUGGUACUCAGGAUUUAAAAAUUUCACUUGUUUCUGUGUGGGAUUGUGACUCUUCUUCCAUUUAAAGACGUUUUAAAAGUGGAGAAUCUUGCAAUUUUGUUGAUGACAUACUUAGGUUGGAAUGAAAAUGGGAAAGCAAAGAAGGAUUUCUCAAAUUACAGGGAGUUUGUGAUGCAGUUGAAGGUGGAUCGGAGCUUUAAAGUGUUAAUACAUCUUUGAUUCCAAUUGUAUACACACAUUUAAAUUCCAUGGAUCAUUCCUUAAAGGAGAUUGGGUAAUAGCAAUAUUCGUGAGACAGAAUCAAAAAAUCUGAGAUCUCUGCGUGAUGGACCCGACUGUUUAUCUCUUUAGAGAUGCUUUCGAAUAACAAUUUCUUCAGUGGCUCCAAGCCGGGCAUGGAUUUACAUAAAGUGGUGAAAAAGCUGAUCUAAGAAUGAAACUAAUACGGUUGGAUCCUGGGACUUUCCUGCUGGUUACAGUUGAGGCUGGGUUCAAUCCCAGUUGCGUUUCCUACAGAAUAGGAGAUUGGGUGAGAGCAUUUAAAAACUAUAUGGAUCUUUGUGUGAGAGCAUUUAAAAACUAUAUGGAUCUUUGUGCGACUUUCCAGUUGGUUACAGUUGAUGCUGGAUUCAACCCUUAGCAACUAUCCUGAGUUUUUUGAGGAGAAAAAUGAGAGGAAUUAACAUCCUAGGAUGGUGUUUUCUUUUGUUUUCCCAUUGUACUAAGAUUUAUGAAGUUUGGGAAGUUUGCUUUUCAA
Long non-coding RNA from Cryptomeria japonica (Japanese cedar), 2823 nucleotides. RefSeq lists it as uncharacterized. The record is from RefSeq and is a predicted model, not a curated record. The transcript has 4 exons. NCBI's taxonomy places the organism in Eukaryota, Viridiplantae, Streptophyta, Pinopsida, Cupressales, Cupressaceae.